ACUGCGAGUGAAGAGGGAAGAGCUCAUCAUUGGAAUCUGACAGCGUUACGCUGUCCGAGUUGUAGAUGAGGAGUAGUCCAUCUGGACUGCAUGGCGUCCAAGUACAAUAGGCCGUCAGUGGGACAUCAUAGAGGGUGACAAUCCCGUCCUUGAUGCCAAUGUGCAAGUCCGUUACGAUGGCUAUCUCAGAGAGUCGAGCAGUUUGGGAUUUGCUGCUUAAACAUGGGAGGUAGAUUCCUUCUAAAGCUAAAUACAGGCGAGAGACCGAUAGAGAACAAGUACCGCAAGGGAAAGAUGAAAUAGAACUCUGUGAAGGGAGUCAAAAGGCGUGAAAUUGUUGCGAGAGAAGCGAUUCAAGUCAGCGUAGCUAGGCCCAUCAAGCCUCUUUGUGCUUUGGACUAGCUUUGCCAGCGGUCUUGUCCCUUAGAGACUUGACUUUUUUUAUGAUGUCCAGCCUGGUAUGCACAGGUAGCCCUCCUCUUGGGGGGGCCAGUGACAUGGCUGGUGGAAUGGCUUGCAAUCGACCCGUCUUGAAACACGGACCAAGGAGUCUAACAUGUAUGCGAGUAUAAGGGUGGCAAACCCGUAUGCGCAAUGAAAGUAACUUUCGAUGAUUGAGAAUGGCCUGAUGACCAGACAAGCAAUAUAUUCAUGUCCCUCGUACGGCCAUUGCCCAAGUUCCGUGGUAGAUCCCAUGAACAUGGAGUUGGAGCAUACAUGCUAGGACCCGAAAGAUGGUGAACUAUGCCUGGACAAAGCGAAGCCAAAGGAAACUCUGGUGGAGGCUUGUAGCGAUUCUGACGUGCAAAUCGAUCGUCUGAUCUGGGUAUAG
This 832-nucleotide ribosomal RNA is filed under the name Cantharellus flavolateritius. Its description in RNAcentral is "partial large subunit ribosomal RNA". It matches the Rfam family "Eukaryotic large subunit ribosomal RNA", at positions 86 to 920 of the family's 3401-position model. Lineage: Eukaryota; Fungi; Basidiomycota; Agaricomycetes; Cantharellales; Hydnaceae. The record is from RNAcentral.